GGGGUGCAACACGAGGACUUCCCAGGAGGUCACCCAUCCUAGUACUACUCUCGCCCAAGCACGCUUAGCUGCGGAGUUCUGAUGGGAUCCGGUGCAUUAGUGCUGGUAUGAUCGCACCC
This 119-nucleotide ribosomal RNA is filed under the name Arabis alpina (gray rockcress). Its description in RNAcentral is "rRNA ENSRNAG00050207985". Lineage: Eukaryota; Viridiplantae; Streptophyta; Magnoliopsida; Brassicales; Brassicaceae. The record is from RNAcentral.